GCUCGCCUUGGCAGGGCAUGAACAAAAAUUGCAAUGAUACAGAGAAGAUUAGCAUGGCCCCUGUACAAGAAUGACAGACAAAUUCAUGAAGCUUUUUAUAUUUAU
This is a small nuclear RNA of Rattus norvegicus (Norway rat), 105 nucleotides long. The record is from Ensembl. Lineage: Eukaryota; Metazoa; Chordata; Mammalia; Rodentia; Muridae.